RNAcentral lists this unclassified non-coding RNA (250 nucleotides) under plant metagenome. RNAcentral's name for it is "partial contains small subunit ribosomal RNA, internal transcribed spacer 1, and 5.8S ribosomal RNA". The record is from RNAcentral.
GUAGGUGAACCUGCGGAAGGAUCAUUAACACUGUUUUUCAAAACAACAGUUUUAAAACCACAAAAACUAAUUCGUGAACACGAUUUUUAGAUCUUCUAAAAAUCGUCCCUCUCCCCUAUUUUUUUUACAAAACCCCAAUAACCAACCUUUCAACUCUUUCCAUUUGGAAGAACUGAAAAAACAAUCAAAAAACAAUAACAAAAAAGAAACAUUCAAGUUUUUUUUUAUUAUUAUUUUUACGAAAUGCUGA